This 253-nucleotide ribosomal RNA is filed under the name uncultured bacterium. Its description in RNAcentral is "partial 16S ribosomal RNA". It matches the Rfam family "Bacterial small subunit ribosomal RNA", at positions 524 to 776 of the family's 1533-position model. The record is from RNAcentral.
UACGAAGGAGGCUAGCGUUGCUCGGAAUCACUGGGCGUAAAGCGCACGUAGGCGGAUUGUUAAGUCAGGGGUGAAAUCCUGGAGCUCAACUCCAGAACUGCCUUUGAUACUGGCGAUCUCGAGUCCGGGAGAGGUGAGUGGAACUGCGAGUGUAGUGGUGAAAUGCGUAGAGAUCCGGAGGAACACCAGUGGCGAAGGCGACACGCUGGGCCAUACCUGACGCUAAAGCGCGACAGCAUGGGGAGCAAACGGG